GGGCCCGCACAAGCGGUGGAGUAUGUGGUUUAAUUCGAUGCAACGCGAAGAACCUUACCAGGGUUUGACAUCCUGCGAAUCUCUUGGAAACGAGAGAGUGCCUUCGGGAACGCAGUGACAGGUGGUGCAUGGCUGUCGUCAGCUCGUGUCGUGAGAUGUUGGGUUAAGUCCCGCAACGAGCGCAACCCACGUCUUUAGUUGCCAGCAUUUAGUUGGGCACUCUAGAGAGACCGCCGGUGAUAAACCGGAGGAAGGUGUGGAUGACGUCAAAUCAUCACGGCCCUUACGUUCUGGGCUACACACGUGCUACAAUGGUCGGUACAGAAAGCAGCCACUAUGCGAAUAGGAGCUAAUCUCAUAAACUUAGCCUAAGUUCGGAUUGUAGGCUGCAACUCGCCUACAUGAAGUCGGAAUCGCUAGUAAUCGCUGGUC
Molecule: ribosomal RNA, 432 nt
Filed under: uncultured bacterium
Lineage: Bacteria
Description: bacterial SSU rRNA
Rfam family: Bacterial small subunit ribosomal RNA
Source: RNAcentral